AUAGGGGAAGAGUGGAAUUUCGUGUGGAGGGGAUCAAAUCCUAAGAUAUACGAAGGAACGCCAACCCGCGAAGGCAGCUCUCUGGGUCCCCACUGACGCUGGGGUGCGAAAGCAUGGGGAGCAAACAGGAUCAGAUACCCUGGUAGUCCAUGCCGUAAGCGAUGAGUGUUCGUCCUUGGUCUGCCUGCCUACUAGGUAGGAUUAGGAUCAGGGGCCCAGCUAACGCGUGAAACACUCCGCCUGGGGAGUACGGUCGCAAGACUGAAACUCAAAGGAAUUGACGGGGGCCCGCACAAGCGGUGGAGCAUGUGGUUUAAUUCGAUGCAACGCGAAGAACCUUACCUGGUCUUGACAUCCAUAAAAUUUUUUAGAGAUAAAAAAGUGCCUUUACCGGAAUUAUGAGACAGGUGCUGCAUGGCUGUCGUCAGCUCGUGUUGUGAAAUGUUGGGUUAAGUCCCGCAACGAGCGCAACCCUUGUUCUCUGUUGCCAUCAGGUUAUGCUGGGAACUCAGAGGAGACUGCCGGUUAUAAGCUGGAGGAAGGUGGGGACGACGUCAAGUCAUCAUGGCCCUUACGACCAGGGCUACACACGUGCUACAAUGGCAUAUACAAAGAGAAGCAAAUCUGCGAAGACAAGCAAAACUCAUAAAGUAUGUCUUAGUUCGGACUGGAGUCUGCAACUCGACUCCACGAAGUCGGAAUCGCUAGUAAUCGUGGAUCAGAAUGCCACGGUGAAUACGUUCCCGGGCCUUGCACUCACCGCCCGUC
This 768-nucleotide ribosomal RNA is filed under the name uncultured bacterium. RNAcentral describes it as "bacterial SSU rRNA". It matches the Rfam family "Bacterial small subunit ribosomal RNA", at positions 651 to 1398 of the family's 1533-position model. The record is from RNAcentral.